ACGCUGGCGGCGUGCCUAAUACAUGCAAGUCGAGCGAACAGAUAAGGAGCUUGCUCCUUUGACGUUAGCGGCGGACGGGUGAGUAACACGUGGAUAACCUACCUAUAAGACUGGGAUAACUUCGGGAAACCGGAGCUAAUACCGGAUAAGAUUUUGAACCGCAUGGUUCAAUAGUGAAAGACGGCCUUGCUGUCACUUAUAGAUGGAUCCGCGCCGUAUUAGCUAGUUGGUAAGGUAACGGCUUACCAAGGCAACGAUACGUAGCCGACCUGAGAGGGUGAUCGGCCACACUGGAACUGAGACACGGUCCAGACUCCUACGGGAGGCAGCAGUAGGGAAUCUUCCGCAAUGGGCGAAAGCCUGACGGAGCAACGCCGCGUGAGUGAUGAAGGUCUUCGGAUCGUAAAACUCUGUUAUCAGGGAAGAACAAACGUGUAAGUAACUGUGCACGUCUUGACGGUACCUGAUCAGAAAGCCACGGCUAACUACGUGCCAGCAGCCGCGGUAAUACGUAGGUGGCAAGCGUUAUCCGGAAUUAUUGGGCGUAAAGCGCGCGUAGGCGGUUUUUUAAGUCUGAUGUGAAAGCCCACGGCUCAACCGUGGAGGGUCAUUGGAAACUGGAAAACUUGAGUGCAGAAGAGGAAAGUGGAAUUCCAUGUGUAGCGGUGAAAUGCGCAGAGAUAUGGAGGAACACCAGUGGCGAAGGCGACUUUCUGGUCUGUAACUGACGCUGAUGUGCGAAAGCGUGGGGAUCAAACAGGAUUAGAUACCCUGGUAGUCCACGCCGUAAACGAUGAGUGCUAAGUGUUAGGGGGUUUCCGCCCCUUAGUGCUGCAGCUAACGCAUUAAGCACUCCGC
This 858-nucleotide ribosomal RNA is filed under the name Staphylococcus sp. M_Sw_oHS_02/11_11_1(2). RNAcentral describes it as "bacterial SSU rRNA". It matches the Rfam family "Bacterial small subunit ribosomal RNA", at positions 33 to 872 of the family's 1533-position model. The record is from RNAcentral. Lineage: Bacteria; Bacillati; Bacillota; Bacilli; Caryophanales; Staphylococcaceae.